GAGGGUAUAGCUCAGUGGUAGAGUGCAUGCCUAGCAUGCAUGAGGCCCUGGGUUCAAUCCCCAGUACUUCCA
This 72-nucleotide transfer RNA is filed under the name Camelus bactrianus (Bactrian camel). It matches the Rfam family "tRNA". Rfam says of the family: Transfer RNA (tRNA) molecules are approximately 80 nucleotides in length. Their secondary structure includes four short double-helical elements and three loops (D, anti-codon, and T loops). Further hydrogen bonds mediate the characteristic L-shaped molecular structure. tRNAs have two regions of fundamental functional importance: the anti-codon, which is responsible for specific mRNA codon recognition, and the 3' end, to which the tRNAs corresponding amino acid is attached (by aminoacyl-tRNA synthetases). tRNAs cope with the degeneracy of the genetic code in two manners: having more than one tRNA (with a specific anti-codon) for a particular amino acid; and 'wobble' base-pairing, i.e. permitting non-standard base-pairing at the 3rd anti-codon position. RNAcentral also lists the same sequence under 2 other names. The record is from Rfam by way of RNAcentral. Lineage: Eukaryota; Metazoa; Chordata; Mammalia; Artiodactyla; Camelidae.